CAGUCGCCACGGUAAUACCGAGGGUGCAAGCGUUAAUCGGAAUUACUGGGCGUAAAGCGCGCGUAGGUGGUUUGUUAAGUUGGAUGUGAAAGCCCCGGGCUCAACCUGGGAACUGCAUCCAAAACUGGCAAGCUAGAGUACGGUAGAGGGUGGUGGAAUUUCCUGUGUAGCGGUGAAAUGCGUAGAUAUAGGAAGGAACACCAGUGGCUAAGGCGACCACCUGGACUGAUACUGACACUGAGGUGCGAAAGCGUGGGGAGCAAACAGGAUUAGAUACCCCUGUAGUCCCUGUCUCUUAUAC
RNAcentral lists this ribosomal RNA (301 nucleotides) under uncultured bacterium. RNAcentral's name for it is "partial 16S ribosomal RNA". It matches the Rfam family "Bacterial small subunit ribosomal RNA", at positions 509 to 807 of the family's 1533-position model. The record is from RNAcentral.